Molecule: transfer RNA, 59 nt
Filed under: Erpobdella japonica
Lineage: Eukaryota; Metazoa; Annelida; Clitellata; Hirudinida; Erpobdellidae
Description: tRNA-Arg
Source: RNAcentral
AAACAAUAGCAUUUAUGCAUUUUGAUUUCGGCUCAAAAAGAGGAAAUUUCCAUUGUUUA